Molecule: ribosomal RNA, 253 nt
Filed under: uncultured bacterium
Lineage: Bacteria
Description: partial 16S ribosomal RNA
Rfam family: Bacterial small subunit ribosomal RNA
Source: RNAcentral
UACGAACUGUGCGAACGUUAUUCGGAAUCACUGGGCUUAAAGGGUGCGUAGGCGGGUCUUUAAGUCAGGGGUGAAAUCCUGGAGCUCAACUCCAGAACUGCCUUUGAUACUGAGGAUCUUGAGUUCGGGAGAGGUGAGUGGAACUGCGAGUGUAGAGGUGAAAUUCGUAGAUAUUCGCAAGAACACCAGUGGCGAAGGCGGCUCACUGGCCCGAUACUGACGCUGAGGCACGAAAGCGUGGGGAGCAAACAGG